RNAcentral lists this ribosomal RNA (440 nucleotides) under uncultured bacterium. RNAcentral's name for it is "partial 16S ribosomal RNA". It matches the Rfam family "Bacterial small subunit ribosomal RNA", at positions 338 to 795 of the family's 1533-position model. The record is from RNAcentral.
CCUACGGGAGGCUGCAGUAGGGAAUGUUGCGCAAUGGGCGAAAGCCUGACGCAGCAACGCCGCGUGAACGAGACGGCCUUCGGGGUGUAAAGGGCUGUGAGGGGGGACGAAAAAUGACGGUACCCACAGAGGAAGCACCGGCUAACACCGUGCCAGCAGCCGCGGUAAUGCGGAGGUGGCAAGCGUUGUCCGGAAUCAUUGGGCGUAAAGAGUUCGUAGGCGGCAUGUAAAGUCAGGUGUUAAAGGCGCAGGCUCAACCUGGGGAUGGCACUUGUUACUUGCAAGCUGGAUUGCGGUAGAGGUAACGGGAAUUCCUGGUGUAGCGGUUAAAUGCUUAGAUAUCAGGAGGAACAUCGGUGGCGUACGCGCUUUACUGGGCCGUAAUUGACGCUGAGGCACGAAAGCCCGGGUAGCACAUUGGAUUAGAUACCCUAGUAGUC